GUCCACUGACAUUUCACUAUAUUGUUUCUCUACGGAGCAAAUGGCUUGUGUACUUCCGUGCACAUGUUUUGUCCUAAUAUUAUAUUUUUUCUCACCCCUUUGAAUUUAUGAUGCCCUAAAUAUGGAAUCAAAUUCUUCUCAGCCUCUAGAACUUAGAGAGUCCCCUGUAGGGGGUGCAUGUAUUGUCAUGAGAAACCAGGUUAUCUUCUUAUAUGGACCAUUGUUCUAAUUAUACGACUCUUGAAUUUUCUUGGCAGUUACUGCCUCUCUGGGUCUAAGUCUUAAUUCAUUACAAGGAAUUGAAUUUCUUCUCAAUUUGGAGAUCUCACUUGUUGUUGCCAUCUGUUAUGGCCUGAACUGUGUCCUCCCCAACCCACCAAAUUCAUAUGUUGAAGCUCUAACCCCCAGUGCCUCAAAAUGUGAUUAUAUUUGGAGAUAUGGCUUUAAAGAGGUGAUUAAAUUAAAACGAGGCCAUUAGGUUGGACUGUCUUAAUCUGUUUUGACUGCUGAAACAAAAAUAUUAUAAACUGGGUGGCUUAUAAACAACAGGAAUUUAUGUUUCACAAUUCUGGAGACUAGGAGGUCCAACAUCAAGUUGCAGGUAGAUUCUACGUCUGGUGACAGCUGCUUCCUGAUUCAUGAACGGAUACCUUUUCAUUGUGUCCCCACAUGGUGGAAGGGAGUUGGGUGUGUUUUUGUUUGUUUGUUUGUUUGUUUUUUUGAGAUAGAAUUUCGCUCUUGUCACCCAGGCUGGAGUGUAGUGGCGUGAUCUCGGCUCACUGCAACCUCUGCCUCCCGGAUUCAAGUGGUUCUCCUGCCUCAGCCUCCCCAGUAGCUGGGAUUACAGGUGCCUGCCACCACGCCCAUCUAAUUUUUGUAUUUUUAGUAGAGAUGGGGUUUCAUCAUGUAGGCCAGGGUGGUCUCGAACUCCUGACCUCAAGUGAUCCGCCCACCUCGGCAUCUCAAAGUGCUGGGAUUACAGGUGUGAGCCACUGUGCCCGGCAGGAAGGGAACCUUUUUUCAGAGCACUAAUCACAUCCAAAAGGGCUUGCCCAUUAUCAUACCAACGGGUUAGGAUUUCAACAUACAAAUUUUGGAGUACAUACACAUUCAGUUGACUGCAAACCCCUCUCAGAUGUUCAAAAGGUGAUGCUGCUUUGCUCUUUUGAAUAAUGUAUAUCUGAUCGCCUCCUUUGGAAAGGCUGAUCAGAAACUCAAAAGAAUGCAACCAUUUUUCUCUUACCUUCCUAUGACCUGGAAGCCCCUCCCCACUUUGAAUUGUCCCUCCUUUCUGGAUGGAACAAAUGUAUAUCUUACAUAUAUUGAUUGAGGUCUCAUGUAUCCGUAAAAUAAAUAAAACCAAGCUGUUUCCCAACCAUGUUGGGCACAUGUUGUCAGGACCUCCUGAGGUUGUGUCACAGGUGCACAUCCUUAAAUUUGGCAAAAUAAAC
This 1451-nucleotide long non-coding RNA is filed under the name Homo sapiens (human). The record is from RNAcentral. Lineage: Eukaryota; Metazoa; Chordata; Mammalia; Primates; Hominidae.